AUUGAACGCUGGCGGCGUGCCUAACACAUGCAAGUCGAGCGGUAACAGGCGUAGCAAUACGUGCUGACGAGCGGCGGACGGGUGAGUAAUGCUUGGGAAUCUUCCCGGUAGUGGGGAACAACCAACCGAAAGGUUGGCUAAUACCGCAUACGUUCUACGGAAGAAAGCGGGGGACCGUAAGGCCUCGCGCUAUCGGAUGAGCCCAAGUCGGAUUAGCUAGUUGGCGGGGUAAUGGCCCACCAAGGCGACAAUCCGUAGCUGGUCUGAGAGGACGACCAGCCACACUGGGACUGAGACACGGCCCAGACUCCUACGGGAGGCAGCAGUGGGGAAUAUUGGACAAUGGGGGCAACCCUGAUCCAGCGACGCCGCGUGUGUGAAGAAGGCCUGCGGGUUGUAAAGCACUUUUAGUGGGGAUGAAAAGCACCGGGCUAAUACCCAGGUGUCUUGACCUAACCUACAGAAAAGCACCGGCUAACUCUGUGCCAGCAGCCGCCGU
Molecule: ribosomal RNA, 499 nt
Filed under: uncultured bacterium
Lineage: Bacteria
Description: bacterial SSU rRNA
Rfam family: Bacterial small subunit ribosomal RNA
Source: RNAcentral